This 498-nucleotide ribosomal RNA is filed under the name uncultured Glomus. RNAcentral's name for it is "SSU rRNA". It matches the Rfam family "Eukaryotic small subunit ribosomal RNA", at positions 591 to 1092 of the family's 1831-position model. The record is from RNAcentral. Lineage: Eukaryota; Fungi; Glomeromycota; Glomeromycetes; Glomerales; Glomeraceae.
CCAAUAGCGUAUAUUAAAGUUGUUGCAGUUAAAAAGCUCGUAGUUGAAUUUCGGGGUCAGUAGGCUGGUCGUGCCACUGGUAUGUACUGGUCUCACUGAUUCCUCCUUCCUGAUGAACCGUAAUGCCAUUAAUUUGGUGUUGCGGGGAAUUUGGACUGUUACUUUGAAAAAAUUAGAGUGUUUAAAGCAGGCUAACGCUUGAAUACAUUAGCAUGGAAUAAUGAAAUAGGACGUUCGAUCCUAUUUUGUUGGUUUCUAGGAUUGACGUAAUGAUUAAUAGGGAUAGUUGGGGGCAUUAGUAUUCAAUUGUCAGAGGUGAAAUUCUUGGAUUUAUUGAAGACUAACUACUGCGAAAGCAUUUGCCAAGGAUGUUUUCAUUAAUCAGUGAACGAAAGUUAGGGGAUCGAAGACGAUCAGAUACCGUCGUAGUCUUAACCGUAAACUAUGCCGACUAGGGAUCGGGCGAUGUUCUUUUUCUGACUCGCUCGGCACCUUACG